This 363-nucleotide ribosomal RNA is filed under the name uncultured eukaryote. RNAcentral's name for it is "SSU rRNA". It matches the Rfam family "Eukaryotic small subunit ribosomal RNA", at positions 567 to 940 of the family's 1831-position model. The record is from RNAcentral.
CCAGCAGCCGCGGUAAUUCCAGCUCCAAUAGCGUAUAUUAAAGUUGUUGCAGUUAAAAAGCUCGUAGUUGGAUUUCUGAGAGAUUGACAAAGUCCGCCGUGUGCGUGUGCUGCGUCGAUCUCUCAUCCUUCUGUUAACGUUUCUUGGUAUUCAGUUACUGGUUUCGGGCUCAGAUAUUUUACCUUGAGAAAAUUAGAGUGUUUAAGGCAGGCUUGCGCCGGAAUACAUUAGCAUGGAAUAAUAGAAUAGGACUUGAGUCUCCUUUGUUGGUUUGAGGGACUCUGGUAAUGAUUAAUAGGGACAGUUGGGGGCAUUAGUAUUUAAUUGUCAGAGGUGAAAUUCUCGGAUUUGUUAAAGACUAAC